CAUUGUUUUGCUAACGUUUCUUUACCUCUAUGCCCGCUUAAUUAGUCAAAUUCUCCAAACAUAUAUUUCGGCGCUUUCGACUAUUAGCUGAUUCCUACCUAUUUUCAUUCUUUUACUAUUUCAUUUAAUUAAUGUAGGUCGAAUUGUAAACGAGUUUCAUUUCCAUUGGACAAGAUAUUCGAAUAAAUGAGCUGCUUAAUCAUGUUAAUUG
Molecule: non-coding RNA, 211 nt
Organism: Schizosaccharomyces pombe (fission yeast)
Lineage: Eukaryota; Fungi; Ascomycota; Schizosaccharomycetes; Schizosaccharomycetales; Schizosaccharomycetaceae
Source: the annotation of a GenBank genome assembly